CGGGGGAGCAAGCGUUGUUCGGAUUUACUGGGCGUAAAGGGCGCGUAGGCGGCCACCGCAAGUCGACUGUGAAAUCUCCGGGCUUAACCCGGAACGGUCAGCCGAUACUGCGGGGCUAGAGUGCAGAAGGGGCAACUGGAAUUCUCGGUGUAGCGGUGAAAUGCGUAGAUAUCGAGAGGAACACCUGCGGCGAAGGCGGGUUGCUGGGCUGACACUGACGCUGAUGCGCGAAAGCUAGGGGAGCGAACGGGAUUAGAUACCCCGGUAGUCCUAGCCUUAAACGAUGAAUGCUUGGUGUCUGGGGUUCUAUAGUCCCCGGGUGCCGUCGCUAACGCUUUAAGCAUUCCGCCUGGGGAGUACGGUCGCAAGACUG
RNAcentral lists this ribosomal RNA (373 nucleotides) under uncultured organism. Its description in RNAcentral is "bacterial SSU rRNA". It matches the Rfam family "Bacterial small subunit ribosomal RNA", at positions 527 to 896 of the family's 1533-position model. The record is from RNAcentral.